Nicotiana tabacum (common tobacco) is the source of this 1779-nucleotide long non-coding RNA. RefSeq lists it as uncharacterized. The record is from RefSeq and is a predicted model, not a curated record. NCBI's taxonomy places the organism in Eukaryota, Viridiplantae, Streptophyta, Magnoliopsida, Solanales, Solanaceae.
GAAAUAUUCUUAAGGACAGUGUACUUGACACGCCUCAAACUAAACCUUAUUUUCAGUAAUACAAUAUUUUUCCAACAGUUUGCCCAUCUACAAUUUGGGGAGGAAUAUAUCAAAGUGUCAUUCCAUGAGUGGCUGGCCGAUUUUGCAAAUUCACCCAUGCCUUUGGUCCAUCCCUGUUAUUUGCAGGGUACACUGUUGCAUUGAGCUGCUCCAUAGGUUUCUCAGUAACAAUAUUAGCUACAGUGGGUUCAAAUUUAUCUAUGCUCGGCUCCUUUGCAUUUUCCCCCUCCUUUGAUAAAUCACUGGAGCUAAUACUCUGCUAAGGGUUAGCCAGAACUCCUGUUCCAUUGAUUUUUUCACCAGAUAUAGCUGUGUCAAGCUUACCCAAUUGCCCUGUUAGUAAUGGAGUACUAAGGGUCAAUUUCCUGCUCACUCCAGUGAUAAUACUACCUCACUUGAGAUCAUCUCCGGCGUCAUCGUCCCUUGCGUUUGAGAUAGAAUUACCUUCCCAGCUUGUGCGCUAGUGCUUACGGAGCUUCCGAAAGCAAUAAUAGGUAUUUUGUUUGGCCUUCCUCAUCUGUGACCUCGUCCUUUCCACAUGGCAUCCACACCAGCAUACAUUAGCUAACGUGUGCUGAGAGCAUUAUUUGUUCUAUAUCAUUAUCACUAAGUUUUUUGGCAAGUCUGAUUCUCAUGAAUAAAACCAAUAUGGCUCCGAUUUUAGGGAUUUCUACAAGAUACUAGCCCUAUACAUUAAAGAAAAGAGAAUAUCUUCAAGAUUCUGGCACAUCACCACCGAUUCACUCUCGAUUAGGGUUUGUGCACGAUUUGAGCUAAUCCAACUUUGAUUCGGUUUGCAUUCGACUGAUUUUUUUCCUUGUGUGUUUGAUUAGUACUUAAACUAUAUAAACCCCCUCUCCUCUUCCGCUCUAGUCAUACUUAAGUCACUCAUUUCUCCUGCUUUCAUUGAUACUUACUUUUCGGUUAAGUAUUUGGAUAUUUGAAGUUUGUAUUCUCUAGAUUUCAUCUACAACAGGUUGAAAGCCAAGGCUAUUGAAACUCUGGUUAGCUAAUCCUCCCCUAGCACAAGUAGUGCUCGGGGUUCUCUGAAACCCUCAUGAACACUGAAGUGCUAGGAAUCGAGGAUUUUGGGAUUCAAGAACUUCUUGAAGUUAUUCACUGGUCAAGGCUCUCACUCUAUUGGGUUACUUUGGGAUUAUUACUCUAAUUUCUGGUUUUAUUAUCUUUGAUAUUUCUCUUGCGUAACUGUAUCGCUUGCCUAAAGAGGUCUCGAGUCAAAUUGCACUCUGGCUUGAUUGAUUGUGCCGUCUGCUGCUACUGUGGGAUCUCAGGGUUGAGUGCUGGGUCUUGAUCGCGUUGGGAAACAUCCUGAAGGCCCAAUACUUACCUGGGACUGUGAUUAUAAUUUUCUUCGCUGUGUAUUUGUUCAUUUUAGUUUACUUCAUUCUUGGGUCUGUAAUAAUGAUGUAACUAACUAUGGGGAUGUUAGUACAAUUUGGGGACAGGGAACAUUAUAUAUUUCAUCACUUAUUAGACAACGUGCUUAUAGGAUCAUACGAUGGGUAGAAAUCAUGUCUAUAGAAUGUUGUCCUUUUAUACUUUUCUCUCGCAUUCGCUCUUUGUUAUGCCUAGAAACCAUGCCUAUAGGAUUUAAUAUGCAACAAUAUGCUUUACCUGUUUGUUACUAUUUAGAAAGCAUGCCUACAGGGUGACAACUUAGUAAUUCGAUCUUAAUAUAUAUAUUUGUAUACCUGGUGA